Molecule: ribosomal RNA, 483 nt
Filed under: uncultured bacterium
Lineage: Bacteria
Description: partial 16S ribosomal RNA
Rfam family: Bacterial small subunit ribosomal RNA
Source: RNAcentral
AUUGAACGCUGGCGGCAUGCUUUACACAUGCAAGUCGAACGGCAGCACGGGCUUCGGCCUGGUGGCGAGUGGCGAACGGGUGAGUAAUAUAUCGGAACGUACCCAGAAGUGGGGGAUAACGUAGCGAAAGUUACGCUAAUACCGCAUACGAUCUAUGGAUGAAAGCAGGGGACCGCAAGGCCUUGUGCUCCUGGAGCGGCCGAUAUCUGAUUAGCUAGUUGGUGAGGUAAAGGCUCACCAAGGCGACGAUCAGUAGCUGGUCUGAGAGGACGACCAGCCACCCGGGAACUAGGACACGGCCCAACCCCCUUCGGGAGGCACGGGUGGGAAAUUUGGGAGAGGGGGCGGAAGCCUGUCCCAGCAAGGCCGCGUGAGGGAAAAAGGCCUUCGGGUUGUAAAGCUUUUUUGUCAGGGAAAAAACGGGAGGGGCUAAUAUCCUUGGCAAAGGCGGGAACCGGAAAAAAAAGCCCCGCCAAACCACUG